CUCCUCCCAUAUUCCUACUAUUUGAAUCCCAACAUUUUAGAAAACAACAUACAAAACUUAUUUAAAUUAUGAACUAUUUUGAGUCUGCUAUCUAAUUUUUCAGAAGUUUGAUUUUACUAUCAAACUGUUCAAUUUGUUUGAUUUGAGUAAGUCAACAAGACUUUUGACUUUAAAAUUUUAAUAAAACAGGUAAUUAGCUUUUGAAGUCAAAUUAAGUGUCGUUGACGGACUCGAAUAAAAUAAAUUUAAAAAGUUAGAUAGUGAAAUCAAAAUUUCAAAAAAUUAAAUAGCUGACUGAAAAUGAUUCAUAAUUCAGAUAAGUUCUGCACGUUUCUACCAACAUCUUAUCAGACAGUAAUGCUAUAAAUAGAUACAAUUCACUA
RNAcentral lists this long non-coding RNA (383 nucleotides) under Ananas comosus (pineapple). RNAcentral describes it as "long non-coding RNA (ACOM_LNC037811)". Lineage: Eukaryota; Viridiplantae; Streptophyta; Magnoliopsida; Poales; Bromeliaceae. The record is from RNAcentral.